RNAcentral lists this ribosomal RNA (468 nucleotides) under uncultured bacterium. RNAcentral describes it as "partial 16S ribosomal RNA". It matches the Rfam family "Bacterial small subunit ribosomal RNA", at positions 29 to 507 of the family's 1533-position model. The record is from RNAcentral.
UACGAACGCUGGCGGCGUGCUUAACACAUGCAAGUCGAACGGACAGGCCCUACUUUUGCGGGGUGCUCGAUUGCCGAACGGGUGAGUAAAACAUGAGUAACCUGCCCUUGACUUUGGGAUAACAUCUGGAGACUGGGGCUAAUACCGGAUAGGAGCUCCUGCUGCAUGGUGGGGGAUGGAAAGAUUCGGCGGUUGGGGAUGGACUCGCGGCUUAUCCGCUUGUUUGUGGGGUAGUGACUUACGAAGGCUUUGAAGGGUAGCCGGCCUGAGAGGGUGACCGGGCACAUGAGGACUGAGAUACGGACCAGACGCGUACGUGAGGCAGCAGUCGGGAGUAUUGCGGAAUGGGGGGAAGCCUGAUGCAGCGACGCCGCGUGCGGGAUGCCGGCCUUCGGGUUGUAAACCGAUUUCGCCUGUGACGAAGCGUGAGUGACGGUAAUGGGUAAAGAAGCACCGGCUAACUACGUG